UACGUAGGGGGCAAGCGUUGUCCGGAUUUAUUGGGCGUAAAGCGCACGCAGGCGGUCUGUUCAGUUUGGAGUGACAGUUCCUGGCUCAACCGGGAAAGUGCUUCGAAUACUGGCGGACUUGAGGGCUUCAGAGGGACACGGAAUUCCGGGUGGAGUGGUGAAAUGCAUAGAUAUCGUCAAGAACACCGAUAGCGAAGGCAGCUUACUGGGCUGUAACUGACGCUGAGGCACGAAAGUGUGGGGAUCAAACAGG
RNAcentral lists this ribosomal RNA (253 nucleotides) under uncultured bacterium. RNAcentral describes it as "partial 16S ribosomal RNA". It matches the Rfam family "Bacterial small subunit ribosomal RNA", at positions 524 to 776 of the family's 1533-position model. The record is from RNAcentral.